GAUGUGGCGCAGUGGUAGUGCGACUGCCUGCGACGCAGAAGGUUCAGGUACGAUUCCUGGUGGUUCA
Non-coding RNA from Phthorimaea operculella (potato tuberworm), 67 nucleotides. The record is from the annotation of a GenBank genome assembly. Lineage: Eukaryota; Metazoa; Arthropoda; Insecta; Lepidoptera; Gelechiidae.